Choloepus didactylus (southern two-toed sloth) is the source of this 4237-nucleotide RNA transcript. It is a transcript of the gene named leukocyte-associated immunoglobulin-like receptor 2, with no coding region annotated. NCBI's taxonomy places the organism in Eukaryota, Metazoa, Chordata, Mammalia, Pilosa, Megalonychidae. The transcript has 4 exons. The record is from RefSeq and is a predicted model, not a curated record.
GGCCGGUCGUGCUCGGGCGCAGAAGGCGGGAGGAGGCUGUCGGUGAGGCGCCAGGGGCGUCCCUGUGGCCCGCGGGAAAUCUCACGGUUCGCUGACGUGUUGCCCGAGAGCAGUCAGGGUGUCAGGACAGAGUGCAAGACGGUUUCCAAGCCGUGCUCUACCCUGUCUGUCUCCCUCUUUCUAGCAACUACUUAUCUAUGGCUGUCUGUCUGUCUAUCAUCCAUCUUUAUUGGCAAUUUCUAUGGAUCGUUAAUAACGAUCUUGACCUCGAGCUUGACCUCGAGAUGAGAUGAUCUCAUCUUUGAGGUUAGGAAAUAUCUCCUGUAGAAACACCUUCUGCACACCCAGGCCCUCCUCUGCCUCGGUUUGAGGAAGCUGGAGAAAGGCCUGGGGUGGGGUUGGGGGGGUCACUUCCCCUUCCCGAGGCUGCUGACAUCCGCACCCUGGGCGUGGCUCCUGCACCUGUCCCUGAGCCACGGGCUCUGUCCUGUUCCCACGGGCAAGAACAAGCAGGCUGUGCAGGCUGUGCCAUGCCCCCCAGCUGCCUCCCCCUCCUGGGAACCAGUGAGUCCGCAAAGGAGGGGAGGGGACUAGAGGGCAGGGGUCUGGGAGACCCUGGGUCGGGGUCUGGUUCCCUGCUCAGUCUGGCCUCCAGCCUGGGAUGUGCUGGGCCCUGGGAGGAAAGUGACCCUGCAGGACUGCCCCGUCUCACCCAGGCCUGAGCCUGGGCACACGGGCACCAGCAGCUCCACUGUGUCCGGGAUGGGCCCGGGGACGGGUGAGUCUGACCAGGAAGGCUGGAAGUGCCUGGGGACUUGCCUGAGCCUGGCCUUGAGGAAGGAAGUUGUUUUUCUGCGAGUUGGAGGUCAUGGAUGCAUAAAUCCUUCCCUGCAUCAAACAACCCUGGAGCCCCCCGUGUAAGGGAAUCGGGCAGGUGGGUGCUUUGCUCACCAGAACUUCUCUUCCAGUGCUCUGCCGGGGACAGGUGAUCCGAGCACAGACAGAUGGAGGAAGCGACCACAAACCAAGGACAGGAGCCGCCUCCAGGAGCAGAGAAGACUGGAAAACAGAUCAUUUAAUAUUCAAGUUCUGAAAGACUAUGGAAAAUGAAAACACUUCACCUGGAUCUACUCACGGGGUAUCACUGAAUAAGCCCCUUGCUUUGCUGUAACUCAUGGUUCUCUCCUCUUGAAAGACUCUCCUUCAUCAACCCCAGCCAUGACCAACUGUUGAGAGGAAAACACCUCCAAAGUCCCCAUUCGUGUUCUUGCUUUAAGCUUCAUUUAUCCAAACAGGAUUCCGUGAUACUGGAAGACGUGGAGAUUAACACAAAUGACGAAUAUAGCAUCAUGGGCAGAUACCACAAAACCUCUGGCCAUCCAGCUCUAAACCAAGCAUUUGGCUGUCUAUACAUUAAAGGAUAUUUGUAAAUUUUCUCAAAUAUAGAGUUGGGAGUUUGUCGCAGGUAUAUAUUGGUUUCUGAGAAAGGAGAAGUCAUAAACCAUAUUUAUGACCAUGCAGGGUCCAACCUGUGGGGAAACAGCUGUCUUGUUCCUUGUGUUGUGUUUCCUGUGCUUUGAUGUUGAAACACCGGCUGGGGGUGACAGGCGUCCACCAGCCACAUCCUCCUAAAGUGUGUCUUUCUCGAUCUGUCCUCUCAUCCAUCCCACAGCCAGGGGCAGGUUCUGAAACUCACCACCCUGUGCUGCCUUCCUCUGAGGGGAAGGAAAAUGAGUCAUAUUUUUAUUGUUAUCUAUUUGUGCUUUUAGAAUGAACCUUGAAUUUCACUGUUGUAAUUCUCCCUAAUUAGUCUUCGUGGUGUGUUAUUCAUUUAUUAAUAAAUAUUUUGAAUUAAGUUAUCAUUAUUAUUUGAGUUAUUAAUAUUUAUCUGAUUUCAUUACGUAUUUAUUCAUUUCUUGUGUAAACUUUAUGUUAUUGUCUUUGUGUGAGAAUGUAUUGGUGACUCAACAGAUGGUGCUUAUAAUUCGAUGGGACAUUUUCUUUGCUGAACCUGUUUUCUUUGUCUAGAAAAUCAUGAAAGCAAAUUCUGAAAUACACUCCCUAAUUUCACAGGGAUAAUGAUUUAUUUAUGCAUGGAGAGACACUGAAUAUGUGGGUAGCAUAAAACCAGCUCAGCCUCAUCCUUGAAAGCUCUGGACCAUGUCAGAAGACCGUGCUGGGAUCUGUAGGAGAAGGGGAGCUUUGGGCCCUGGAUGUCCAGGACAGAGUCACAGCUGUGAUGGGAGUGGAGUUUCAAAAUGAUGGACAGACUCAAAGCUCAAGCCUGCUCUGAAAUGGGAAGUCACAGAAUAGGAGCUUAUAAUCCUAUAGGGAUCACUAUAAAGUCUGUUUUCCUUUCAUGAAACAGUGAGUUGCUAGACUGCUCUGGGGCCCACCCUAGUAGAGACUGAACGCUUGGUUAUGAGCCACCCAGUGACAAAACGAGCUGAACUGCCCACCAGGGACUGCGAGUUGACUGACUAACCAAUGCAUAAAGCUGAGCACACUCAGAAGCACUCCAUCAUCAAAUAGAAGUGGCUUAUAUCAGAUUUGACCAAAGAAGAUCCGGAGGCGUGCACUGGACUGAAUAAUGACCUUCCAAAGAUGUCCAUGAGUUAAUUCCUUGAACCUAUGAAUGAGUUACCUUACAUGGUAAAAGGGACUUUGACGAUGGGUUUAAGUUCAGAGCCUUGAGUUGGGAAGAUUUUCUGUGUCUCAGUUUGCCAAGGCAGCUAUAACAAAUACCACAGACUGUUUCACUUAAACAGUAGGAAUUUAUUAUCCACAGAUUUGAAGGCUAGAAGUCCAAAAUCAAGGUGUCAGCAGGCUACAAUUUCUCUGAAGUCUGUAGCAUUGUGGUAGUGCCUAGCCAGUGAUCCAGAACUCAACCUCUGUCUCUGACACUAUGACCUUCUGUCUCCUCCUCACUCCUACUAUCAUGGCCAAAUUUCCCUUCUUUAUAAGGACUCUAGGCCUACUGUAUUAAGACCCAUCCUAAUUCAAUUUGUCCUCAAAUUAAAUAAUAACAUCUUUAAAUAUCUUAUUUAUAAAUUGUUUUUCAUCAACAGGACUAGGAGUUAGGACUUGAACAUGUCUUCCUGGGGGGGACAUGAUCCAAUACAUAUAAUCUGGGAUUAUCCAGGUGGGCCCAAUAUAAUCACAAGGGCCCUUACCAACAAAGAAUGAGGCAGGAGAGUCAGAUUCAAAGAAGGAGCUGUGACAACAGAAGGGAAUAGAAACCUGGCUUUGAGGAUGGAAGGCACCACAAGUCAAGGAAUGCAGGCAACCUCUGAAAGCUGCAAAAGGCAAGGAACACAUUUCUCCAAGAUGUUCCAGAAGGAAUGAAAUCUUGCCAAGACUUUGAUUUUGUUGAUUUUUCAAAAUUGUAUUUGUGGAGAUAUGCGCUGUGUGCUUCAGGCUGUGCAGGCAGCAAAUGGGGUGGCAGCUGAGGUCUAGAACUGGACCAGAACCGUGUGUGUGCAGAAGCAGUUACUGCUCUCAUCAUGAAGUUUUAAAUGACUUCUCUUUAAGCAGAUGGCCCAACUCCAUUCUCACUUCUGUCUGUCCUGGGUUGGCCAUACCAAGACAGAACCACAGCUUAUACACUUGCUAAUUUUCUCUGUCUUCUUCGUGACAUGAGUCAAGAGAAGGUGGAAAUAGAAGUUUCCCAUGAGAGAAGAAGGCACCAUUUUCUGACCGUGCCCCCGGCCCCAGAGGCAGCAGUGAAGGGUGACUGUAAAUGGACACAUGUCUGAGUCCUGCGCUUUUACCCUUUUUCUGAGGGCUUUGUCUUUCAAAGCUAUGAUCUGAGCUUGCAGCUCCUACAAAAAGAGUCCCAAAAAUUUGUACUGAGGAUGUUCCCAGAGGGAGCUCAAGACUCAGCGCCAAGUGGAGUGGAGGAAGCACACGUGAUCCUGUGGCCGUGGACUGACCGUCCUGCCUGGACGUCGUAACGAGACCUCCUCAGUGGCAACAGGCAUCUCUGGCCCUUGUGGUGUGUGGCAUUAGAUUCGUCAUUUCCUACCACUGAGGCUUAACUUCCUCACCAGGAAAUUGUCCAACAACACGUCUCUCCGAAGGCUGCAAGGAGAGCAUUUGUAACUUCCUUCUUUGGCAAAAUAUACACGAAGGAAAGUGCACAUCUCAACAUCUAUGGCUUGCUGGCUUUUACUUACUAAACAGCCAUGUAAUCAGCAACCAUAUUAAGAAAACAAAAACCGUUAGCCCCCCAGGAGCU